GAUGAACGCUGGCGGCGUGCCUAACACAUGCAAGUCGAGCGAACAGACGAUGAGCUUGCUCCUCUGCGGGUGGCGGCGGACGGGCGAGUAACACAUGGAUCACCUACCUAUAAGACUGGGAUAAUUACGGGAAACCAGUGCCAAUACUGGCUAAUAUAUCGAACCGCAUGGUUCAAUAGUGCAAGGCGGUUUUGCCGUCAGUUAUAGAUGGUGCCGGGCCGCAUUAGCUAGUUGGUAAGGUAACGGCUUACCAAGGCAACGAUGCGGAGCCGACCUGAGAGGAUGAUCAGCCACACUGGAACUGAGACACGGUCCAGACUCCUACGGGAGGCAGCAGUAGGGAAUCUUCCGCAAUGGGCGAAAGCCUGACGCAGCAACGCCGCGUGGGUGAAGAAGGUCUUCGGAUCGUAAAACUCUGUUAUUAGGGAAGAACAACUGUAUAAGUAUCCACGCCUGUCUUGACGGUACCUAAACAAAAAGCAACGGCUAACUACGUG
Molecule: ribosomal RNA, 497 nt
Filed under: uncultured bacterium
Lineage: Bacteria
Description: partial 16S ribosomal RNA
Rfam family: Bacterial small subunit ribosomal RNA
Source: RNAcentral